GACGAACGCUGGCGGCGUGCUUAACACAUGCAAGUCGAACGGAAAGGCCCUGCUUUUGUGGGGUGCUCGAGUGGCGAACGGGUGAGUAACACGUGAGUAACCUGCCCUUGACUUUGGGAUAACUUCAGGAAACUGGGGCUAAUACCGGAUAGGAGCUCCUGCUGCAUGGUGGGGGUUGGAAAGUUUCGGCGGUUGGGGAUGGACUCGCGGCUUAUCAGCUUGUUGGUGGGGUAGUGGCUUACCAAGGCUUUGACGGGUAGCCGGCCUGAGAGGGUGACCGGCCACAUUGGGACUGAGAUACGGCCCAGACUCCUACGGGAGGCAGCAGUGGGGAAUAUUGCACAAUGGGCGGAAGCCUGAUGCAGCAACUCCGCGUGCGGGAUGACGGCCUCGGGUUGUAAACCGCUUUCGCCUGUGACGAAGCGUGAGUGACGGUAAUGGGUAAAGAAGCACCGGCUAACUACGUG
RNAcentral lists this ribosomal RNA (467 nucleotides) under uncultured bacterium. Its description in RNAcentral is "partial 16S ribosomal RNA". It matches the Rfam family "Bacterial small subunit ribosomal RNA", at positions 28 to 507 of the family's 1533-position model. The record is from RNAcentral.